This 457-nucleotide ribosomal RNA is filed under the name uncultured Acholeplasma sp. RNAcentral's name for it is "bacterial SSU rRNA". It matches the Rfam family "Bacterial small subunit ribosomal RNA", at positions 920 to 1382 of the family's 1533-position model. The record is from RNAcentral. Lineage: Bacteria; Bacillati; Mycoplasmatota; Mollicutes; Acholeplasmatales; Acholeplasmataceae.
CCCGCACAAGCGGUGGAGCAUGUGGUUUAAUUCGAAGCAACGCGAAGAACCUUACCAGGUCUUGACAUCCCCUGCAAAGCUAUAGAGAUAUAGUGGAGGUUAUCAGGGAGACAGGUGGUGCAUGGUUGUCGUCAGCUCGUGUCGUGAGAUGUUGGGUUAAGUCCCGCAACGAGCGCAACCCUUAUUGCUAGUUACCAUCAUUGAGUUGGGGACUCUAGCGAGACUGCCAGUGAUAAACUGGAGGAAGGUGGGGAUGACGUCAAAUCAUCAUGCCCCUUAUGACCUGGGCUACAAACGUGAUACAAUGGCUGGAACAGAGGGCAGCGAAGCAGUGAUGUGAAGCGAAACCCAAAAAUACAGUCUCAGUUCGGAUUGAAGUCUGCAACUCGACUUCAUGAAGUUGGAAUCGCUAGUAAUCGCGGAUCAGAACGCCGCGGUGAAUACGUUCUCGGGGUUU